GGGGAAUUUUGGACAAUGGGGGCAACCCUGAUCCAGCCAUGCCGCGUGAGUGAAGAAGGCCUUCGGGUUGUAAAGCUCUUUUGUUGGGAAAGAAAAGCAGCCGGCCAAUACCCGGUUGUUCUGACGGUACCCAAAGAAUAAGCACCGGCUAACUACGUGCCAGCAGCCGCGGUAAUACGUAGGGUGCGAGCGUUAAUCGGAAUUACUGGGCGUAAAGCGUGCGCAGGCGGUUGAUUAAGACAGGCGUGAAAUCCCCGGGCUUAACCUGGGAACUGCGCUUGUGACUGGUCGGCUAGAGUACGGCAGAGGGGGGUGGAAUUCCACGUGUAGCAGUGAAAUGCGUAGAGAUGUGGAGGAACACCGAUGGCGAAGGCAGCCCCCUGGGCCGAUACUGACGCUCAUGCACGAAAGCGUGGGUAGCAAACA
Molecule: ribosomal RNA, 426 nt
Filed under: uncultured Rhodocyclaceae bacterium
Lineage: Bacteria; Pseudomonadati; Pseudomonadota; Betaproteobacteria; Rhodocyclales; Rhodocyclaceae
Description: bacterial SSU rRNA
Rfam family: Bacterial small subunit ribosomal RNA
Source: RNAcentral